AAUAGAAAUUAAGAAAACAAUAAUUCCACGAUGCAGAUCAAAAUAGAAAUUGAGAAAAACAAUAAUUCCACAAUGCUGAUCAAAAUAGAAAUUGAGAAGACAAUAAUUCCACAAUGCAGAUCAAAAUAGAAAUUGAGAUGACAAUAAUUCCACAUUGCAGAUACCAAAUAGAAAGUGAAACAUCAACCUGAUCAAGCAAACAACAAUGAAGCAAUAUAUUGUAACACAUCAAGCAACGAUUAAACAAAACAGACACUAAUUGAAGUAAAUCAGACACCUAUUCCCCUGGGAGGUAUACCUUUUACAAAUAGGCAGGCAACAAACAUCAAAAAGAAGGAAAAUUGAAAGAAACAG
RNAcentral lists this long non-coding RNA (354 nucleotides) under Mytilus galloprovincialis (Mediterranean mussel). The record is from RNAcentral. Lineage: Eukaryota; Metazoa; Mollusca; Bivalvia; Mytilida; Mytilidae.